Long non-coding RNA from Meriones unguiculatus (Mongolian gerbil), 1824 nucleotides. RefSeq lists it as uncharacterized. NCBI's taxonomy places the organism in Eukaryota, Metazoa, Chordata, Mammalia, Rodentia, Muridae. The record is from RefSeq and is a predicted model, not a curated record. The transcript is spliced from 2 exons.
GAGCCGAGGCUCAGAUGCCACUAGCUGGCGCUGACAUCUCGCCCUCAAAACUUAAACCUCCAGGGUGCACGCGCAGAUGCGUAUACACGCUAAAGAUUGCGUAAGCACGCUAAGAAUUGCGUAGGCAUGCCGGUAAGAGUGAGCAGCCAAUCAGGGUAUUGACACGUCACUCAGGUGGACCCAGGCUUAUAUAAACAGCGCUACUCCGGGGCCCGCCCUCUCCUUCGAUCUCUUCCUUCCCCGUUUCCCCGCCCGGGGCCGCGGCCCUCGGGAAGCCGCCCGCGCCCACGAGGUGGCCGGGCGGCCUCUCUCUCCCCUCUUCAUCGCGUGACUAAUAAAGUUUACUGCGGAAGGAUUCCUGUGGUCGCGUGCGUUUCUGCCGGCGAAACAUUCACGCGGCGGCUCCCAACAUCUGGUGCCGAAACCCGGGAACAUUGCUGGGAAGAAAACAAUCCAUUCUGGGUACCGGAGCGCCUCACGCGAAAGCUCGUGACAGCUGAAGAUGAUCUUCCAACAGACACAUCUGCUACUGCUGAAAGAAUCAAGGACAGCGAGGAGGACCACUAAUUCUACUCGAGUGGAUUCAUUGCCCACAGACUGGCUUUACCCUGGGUUUCUUCUGCCUUUUCUUACUUCAGAUUGGGUGGGGGUCGGAAUGUUUGGUGUAGCAUUGUGUCGUGGCUUAGUGUUUUUUACUCUGGUUGUUCUGCAAACUCUAUACCCAAAACAAACGUGACUAGGUCGCAAUCGCGCAAGCACUAGCACCCUUGGAACAAGGAUCGUCUCCCAAAAAUUUGGUUAUCCAUGUUAAAAAAUUAAAACAGACUGUGACACUCAGUCGAUGCACCUCAGGGGUUUCACCCAUUGCACUGAGUCGAUGAGUGAUCCAGGUUAAUGUUGCCUUUGCCUAAACGGUUAUGGUACCUAGACAGGAGGGUGACAGCUCUUGCACUCCCUGGAAUUUUAUUCCAUUGCACGGGAAUGAGUGUCACCUCCUUUCUGAGAUGUGGUACCUAGACAGGAGGGUGACAGCUCUUGCACUCCCUGGAAUUUUAUUCCAUUGCACGGAAAUGAGUGUCACCUCCUUUCUGAGAUGUGGUACCUAGACAGGAGGGUGACAGCUCUUGCACUCCCUGGAAUUUUAUUCCAUUGCACGGGAAUGAGUGUCACCUCCUUUCUGAGAUGUGGUACCUAGACAGGAGGGUGACAGCUCUUGCACUCCCUGGAAUUUUAUUCCAUUGCACGGGAAUGAGUGUCACCUCCUUUUAAAAAUCUUCUCCCCUAGCCCCUGCACCCAGAGGACUUGUUUCCAUUGCACCUGGUGGGGUAAGGGAGUAAUCUAAAGCUUUUGAUCGCUUACUCCCCAAAGAAGGAGUUUGCUUGAUCGAGCUUAGGGCCCUCUUGUACCGUGCUUAUAGGCUUUUAGGCAGUUUUCAUUUAUUUAUUUAUAACAAAAAGGGAGAUGUGGGGAGCCGAGGCUCAGAUGCCACUAGCUGGCGCUGACAUCUCGCCCUCAAAACUUAAACCUCCAGGGUGCACGCGCAGAUGCGUAUACACGCUAAAGAUUGCGUAAGCACGCUAAGAAUUGCGUAGGCAUGCCGGUAAGAGUGAGCAGCCAAUCAGGGUAUUGACACGUCACUCAGGUGGACCCAGGCUUAUAUAAACAGCGCUACUCCGGGGCCCGCCCUCUCCUUCGAUCUCUUCCUUCCCCGUUUCCCCGCCCGGGGCCGCGGCCCUCGGGAAGCCGCCCGCGCCCACGAGGUGGCCGGGCGGCCUCUCUCUCCCCUCUUCAUCGCGUGACUAAUAAAGUUUACUGCGGAAGGA